GGGGGAUUGGCGCAACUGGUUGAGACGCAAUGGAUUUAGGCUCCAUAAGCAGAAAUGCUUCUAAGAGUUCGACUCUCUUAUCCCUCA
This 87-nucleotide transfer RNA is filed under the name Crassvirales sp. Its description in RNAcentral is "tRNA-Leu". It matches the Rfam family "tRNA". Rfam says of the family: Transfer RNA (tRNA) molecules are approximately 80 nucleotides in length. The record is from RNAcentral. Lineage: Duplodnaviria; Heunggongvirae; Uroviricota; Caudoviricetes; Crassvirales.